GGCAGCAGCAGCAAGCCAGCAGCUGAUCGGGUAAAGAGACCAAUAUCAGAAUAACAACCUACUUCCUACCCGUUUCUGAUGACAUCACUUCCGAUCCUUACAGAUGACAUCGCUUCCGGUUCCUGCCAGCAACGUCACUUUCGUCCCUCCUGGUGAUCUCAUUUCCAGAACAACCUCCUUCCAUUCCCUAUAAAAGCCUAACCAUUGUUUUCUAUUUUGUCUCUGUUUCUUAUAGAAAAGACCAGUAUCAGUCAAUUUUCCCUACUCUGCAAAACCUGACAUUAUACGGGACGGUCACCACAA
Polypterus senegalus (gray bichir) is the source of this 303-nucleotide long non-coding RNA. RefSeq lists it as uncharacterized. The transcript is spliced from 2 exons. NCBI's taxonomy places the organism in Eukaryota, Metazoa, Chordata, Cladistia, Polypteriformes, Polypteridae. The record is from RefSeq and is a predicted model, not a curated record.